RNAcentral lists this ribosomal RNA (550 nucleotides) under uncultured bacterium. RNAcentral's name for it is "bacterial SSU rRNA". It matches the Rfam family "Bacterial small subunit ribosomal RNA", at positions 355 to 896 of the family's 1533-position model. The record is from RNAcentral.
UGGGGAAUUUUGGACAAUGGGCGCAAGCCUGAUCCAGCCAUGCCGCGUNUCUGGAGAAGGCCUUCGGGUUGUACGAGGACUUUUGUCAGGGAAGAAAAGGCUGUUGCUAAUAUCGACAGCUGAUGACGGUACCUGAAGAAUAAGCACCGGCUAACUACGUGCCAGCAGCCGCGGUAAUACGUAGGGUGCGAGCGUUAAUCGGAAUUACUGGGCGUAAAGCGAGCGCAGACGGUUACUUAAGCAGGAUGUGAAAUCCCCGGGCUCAACCUGGGAACUGCGUUCUGAACUGGGUGACUAGAGUGUGUCAGAGGGAGGUAGAAUUCCACGUGUAGCAGUGAAAUGCGUAGAGAUGUGGAGGAAUACCGAUGGCGAAGGCAGCCUCCUGGGAUAACACUGACGUUCAUGCUCGAAAGCGUGGGUAGCAAACAGGAUUAGAUACCCUGGUAGUCCACGCCCUAAACGAUGUCAAUUAGCUGUUGGGCAACUUGAUUGCUUAGUAGCGUAGCUAACGCGUGAAAUUGACCGCCUGGGGAGUACGGUCGCAAGAUUA